UUCGGAGAAACCCUCGGCGAGGUCUUCUUCCGUCACCUUGGCCCCGUUCUCGUCGCCGCAGAUGAUGGCUAUGUGAUUCCCUCCCUUGCGAUUCUUCUACUUUCUUUGUAGUGAUCGCGAAGGGGGUUUCGUGGUGUUUCGCAGGGAAGAAGCGGAGGAGAGCUGUCGAGGAGCGCUCUGAGUCCGACUCGGAGGUGCAGUUGUCGUCAGAUGAUGACUAUGUGCUUCCUCCCUGGGAUGGCGAGCCCGCCUCCGGUAGCAGCGAUGACGGAGAGUGGACGGCGGAAGAAUACAGUCGGAGACGGGAGAAGAAGAGGAAGGGACGAGCCCGGGGAGGACGCGACGACGCUGGGCCCUCCUCGAUUCCGCCGGCUUCAUAUGACGACGGCGACGACGAUGAUGAUCGGGUCCCUGUUGUUGAGGAUGGUGGUGCAUCGUCAAGGAAAAGGGCAUCUAAGAAGUCAAAGAGGAAAUCGAAGGGCAACGCGUUGAUCUGGGAGGUUCUUGAACGAGAGAAUGAGAUAUGGAUUGACGAGCGUGAGAGGAUGGGGGAUUCGGGGAACCCACCUGAUGAGACUGGGGUGGCCAUACAGGUUGCUGACCCCUCGCCGGAUGUCACGCUUCCCCUUCUCAGGUUCCAGAAAGAAUGGGUAGCCUGGGCUUUGAUGCAGGAGGCGUCCAGUGCUCGGGGAGGGAU
RNAcentral lists this long non-coding RNA (697 nucleotides) under Spirodela polyrhiza (greater duckweed). Its description in RNAcentral is "long non-coding RNA (SPOL_LNC000411)". Lineage: Eukaryota; Viridiplantae; Streptophyta; Magnoliopsida; Alismatales; Araceae. The record is from RNAcentral.